Molecule: unclassified non-coding RNA, 315 nt
Filed under: Homalodisca vitripennis (glassy-winged sharpshooter)
Lineage: Eukaryota; Metazoa; Arthropoda; Insecta; Hemiptera; Cicadellidae
Description: single-strand selective monofunctional uracil DNA glycosylase, transcript variant X1
Source: RNAcentral
GCCAAACAAAUACAACUAAACAAACACCGUAAUCGUAAUCGUAAUCAUCAUAACCUGAAGCUCAGAGCUCUACAGUACAGUGUUUAUUGUUUAGUGUGAUAAGUGUUUGAGUUGUGUUGAUUUGGAUAAGAAUUGAAUGUGUUUUCAUAUGAUAUGAAACUUAGUGGUUAUUUUAAUACCAUUUGGAGAAGUAAACAUAGUUCGUGAUUGGUUAAAGUUGAGUGGAACUAUCUUUCCACCGGAAAAUCAACAUCCAGCCAGACCUGUAGAAGGAUUUCAAUGCAAGCGAAGUGAAGUUAGUGGAAGACGUUUCUG